This 787-nucleotide long non-coding RNA is filed under the name Nicotiana benthamiana. RNAcentral describes it as "long non-coding RNA (NBEN_LNC016735)". Lineage: Eukaryota; Viridiplantae; Streptophyta; Magnoliopsida; Solanales; Solanaceae. The record is from RNAcentral.
AUGUUUUAGCAUAUAAUAAGAGCAAGAUAAGAAUAACCAGAGGUCGACACAUAACUCCAGCAAACAUGAAGGUUAAACAGCAUUGGUAGAAGGAGUCAAGUCUUGAACUGUCAUGAUGAACACAAACACAUCGAGUAUAUGUUAGUUGGGCUAAGAAACUCAGUAGAAACAAAUUUGAGGCAAAAUAGUCACAAAAACUCAAACGAGAACCGGUCAGUCAUGCUGAUACGCAGAACCAAACGAAGAAACCUAGAAAAUAAGGGAUUUCAACAUAUGCGAGUUAAAUAUGUAGUAAAAUCAUUGAAUAAGUUAAUAUAAUACAAGAAAUAGAAGAUUUUACACAAAUGAACCAGUUAAAGAAGGUUUUAAAUAAUGUUCCGAAAACCCUAUUUUUUUAAAGCAGGUGAAAAACACUUAAAAAUCAACUAUUCUUGCAAGGAAUCUCAAGGAUUGUGUAAAUAUUAAAGGAACAAACUCAAAUCGUCUUAGAACUUUACAGAAGUAGGAAGUAUAGAAAAGAAAUUAGGGUUCCGAACGAAAUCCAUAUAGAGAUGAACAAGCUGCUUAAAAAACUCAAAGAUCGUUGCAAAUACAUCACGAUUUUGCAAGUUGGCAUGUCCCUGGGCCCUUGAAGACCUUAGAGAAGGUUAGAAUUUCAUGAGAGAAGCCAUUGGAGGCAUACGAGACGAUGAGAGGUCACUGGAGAUUACCGGAGAUGGGAGGUCAGCAGUUGAAGGGCUAGGGAUAGGUUUAGAGUGUACAGAGAGUACAGAGGAUUUUAGGGUGG